Mauremys reevesii (Reeves's turtle) is the source of this 1151-nucleotide long non-coding RNA. RefSeq lists it as uncharacterized. The record is from RefSeq and is a predicted model, not a curated record. Lineage: Eukaryota; Metazoa; Chordata; Testudines; Geoemydidae. The transcript has 5 exons.
GGAGCCUGAAGGAAAGCAGAAGUAGGCCAGGACUGGCAGCUGCUACCCUGCCCCAGAAGCAAGUAGGGAAGCUGGCUACGGAUUGUAAAUAUACUGUAAUCAAGCCUGGUGAUGGUGAAGAUGACCUGGAUUGGUUGUGAUAUUGCCUGGUGUCAGCAAGAUCGCCGAUUACCAUCUUAAUAACCACAGGCAUUUGAAUGUCAGGCAUUUGAUUCCAGCUGCUAUGAUCUUUCGUACAACUGUGAGCAACAUUCCCCUGGAAAGGAAAUGGUGAUUUCAGAAAAGACAUGCCUCUCCAGGGAGGACUUGGUGACCAGACUAAAGUCAUGAUCUCACAGACAUCAAUUAAACAAUACUGUUUAGCACUGGCAUAGCACUUUUCAAGAACAAGAACUAAUAUAGCGGAAUUGGCUGGAAGAAAUGUGAUCAAAACCACACUGCUAGUUAGAAACUUAAUGGAUUGUGGAAACAAUUGUUGGAAGAAAAAAAAAGGCACAUCAAGAGAAUGAAUCCUGAAUAUAAACCUUCAAAAAGAUUUGGAGUAUGUCUAAUUGGUUGCUUCCGUAAUUUUGUGAUAGCUUCUUUUGAGCAACAUUUCCCAAAGUAAAGGACUGUGGAGAGAGAGGCAUUGUUUCAAGCUCACUGCAAACUCAGACAGACAUCUCUGCAUUGGAUACAGCCAGUUCCAGGUCUUGGUGGCCCUUGUGCAUCAGCGAAGAACACCAUUCGUUCCCGGAGUGAAAAGAAAAGAAGAAGACACGUUACCAUCUUACCUGUCCUGCACCUGGAGAACGUCACCAUCCGGAGAGUUCCUGGUCCACUUCUCCUGUCCUGACAUCCAUCAAGGGACUCUCCAGUGUUCCUCCUCCACGGGUUUCAAUUACCUACAGAGUAGAGGUCCUGGACUUCACCCCCACCACUGGCGUGCUGGGAACUGAGUGAGAAAGCAAUAAGGUUUCUAAGUUGGGGGUCAUAUUUCUUGAAUGCCAGGGUGGGUUUAGUUUCAUUCUUGGGCCUGAGCUUCAUGCUCGCAGGGAAGAACUGCUGUGUCACUGGGUUUGUUUGUUAUAGCUUUUAGUCAUUUACAUUUACGCCUUCCCUAUCUGUGUAAUUCUAUCCCCUAAUACAUUACCUGUUUGUUUUGAACCUUA